UGCUGCUUCUAAGCAAUGUUUUGGGUUUUUAUCCUCUUUUGGGAUAAAAUGGGUAUAAGUGUUGUCUAAACACUUUUACUCCAUCCCUAACUCUUAUGAUUAGUCCAAUGCAUUGGAUUAUGACAUAUUUUGAGCAUAGAAACAGUAAUAAAGCUAUUGACUGCUUCUAAGAAAUGUUUUGUUAGUUUUAGCCUCUUUUGGGACAAAAUGGGUAUAAGUGUUGUAUAAACACUCCUAAUUCAUCUCUAA
RNAcentral lists this small RNA (249 nucleotides) under Arabidopsis thaliana (thale cress). Its description in RNAcentral is "ATSL204500". The record is from RNAcentral. Lineage: Eukaryota; Viridiplantae; Streptophyta; Magnoliopsida; Brassicales; Brassicaceae.